This 253-nucleotide ribosomal RNA is filed under the name uncultured bacterium. Its description in RNAcentral is "partial 16S ribosomal RNA". It matches the Rfam family "Bacterial small subunit ribosomal RNA", at positions 524 to 776 of the family's 1533-position model. The record is from RNAcentral.
UACGGGGGGUGCAAACGGUGCUCGGAAUUAUUGGGCGUAAAGCGCACGUAGGCGGUCUCGUAAGUCGGGUGUGAAAGCCCCAGGCUUAACCUGGGAAGUGCACUCGAAACUGCGAGGCUUGAGUAUGGAAGAGGGUCUCGGAAUUCCCGGUGUAGAGGUGAAAUUCGUAGAUAUCGGGAGGAACACCAGUGGCGAAGGCGGAGACCUGGGCCAAUACUGACGCUGAGGUGCGAAAGCGUGGGGAGCAAACAGG